CCUACGGGUGGCAGCAGUGAGGAAUAUUGGUCAAUGGGCGAGAGCCUGAACCAGCCAAGUCGCGUGAAGGAUGACGGCCCUACGGGUUGUAAACUUCUUUUGUCAGGGCGCAAUUGGGUCCACGCGUUGGCGUAGCGAGAGUACCUGAAGAAAAAGCAUCGGCUAAAACCGUGCCAGCAGCCGCGGUAAUCCGGAGGAUGCGAGCGUUAUCCGGAUUUAUUGGGUUUAAAGGGUGCGUAGGCGGGAGAUCAAGUCAGGGGGAAAAAUUCGGGGCUAAACCCCGUCGUGCCGUUGAAACUGAUGUUCUUGAGUGGGCGAGAGGUAUGCGGAAGGCGUGGUGUAGCGGUGAAAUGCGUAGAUAUCACACAGAACUCCGAUUGCGAAGGCAGCAUACCGGCGCCCAACUGACGCUGAAGCACGAAAGCGUGGGUAUCGAACAGGAUUAGAUACCCUUGUAGUC
This 460-nucleotide ribosomal RNA is filed under the name uncultured bacterium. RNAcentral's name for it is "partial 16S ribosomal RNA". It matches the Rfam family "Bacterial small subunit ribosomal RNA", at positions 338 to 795 of the family's 1533-position model. The record is from RNAcentral.